Long non-coding RNA from Daphnia pulicaria, 2231 nucleotides. RefSeq lists it as uncharacterized. The transcript is spliced from 6 exons. The record is from RefSeq and is a predicted model, not a curated record. NCBI's taxonomy places the organism in Eukaryota, Metazoa, Arthropoda, Branchiopoda, Diplostraca, Daphniidae.
GAAUGAAAUUCAUAUCUGAAAAUCAAUUCAGUAUGAAUUUUUGAUCCACCUUAUUCAAAUUCAUGCAACCUUGCCCCGUCCCCCUCAAUUUAGUGCGAAACAUUCAAAAUGGUCGCCGCUUGGCGUGUUGGUGGUAGCUGUGUGACAACGAUCCCUAUGCCAAUGGCAAUUCUCAUUCUCAGGAAUUUGAUAAUAUCUUCAGCUGAAGGUUUCGAGUGAUCUGGGUGCUUGUGAUAACAGUGAUAAAAUGGUCCAAUUCAAGCUGUCUUCAUAAACCACCAUGGAAAUUCAAGAACGCGAAUAUGUUUCAUCGGGAUAUUCGGCCACAUCAUCAACAAUCACAAGCUAUUCAAAUAUCUAUGCAUUACCUAUUUAUGUGCCAGUUCCCGUUUCACUGCCUUCACAAAUCAAUCAACCGGAGCCAGUGGAACGUUUGGAUUCAAAAGAAAGAGUUUCUCAGUUGGAAGAUCCAUAGCGGAUGCUGGAACUGCAGAAGAAGAUUCAGGAAUUGGAGAUUAGUUUGCAGGAAGCCAAAGCCAAACAGGCUGUUCCUCCCAGUGGAAUUAAGAGCCAGCAGGUCGUCAUCGACAAAUCGAUAUCUGCAGCUAUUUCCACUGGAGCCACUGAAGCCGAACUUUGUGUGUUCCUAAAAAGAAUCCUUCUACCUCAUCUUGUGUCUCUUCUAAAAUUCUGAAUGAAAUUGAUCUUCUGCACGACCGAUUGAGCAAUAUGAUCGCCUCAACCGGAGCUGUCGCUGUCAACCGUCGUCGCAUUGGAAAGAUAACCGACAACUAUCAGGAGCCGAUUGGGCGUGGAGGAUUCGGCCAAGUCUUCAAAGGAACUUGGCAUGAACGUCAAGUAGCCGUCAAAGAAAUCCGCUCUCCUUGGCGUUGCAGCACAGUCGUCGAGGCUCAAUCGUUCGCCAAGAUGAUUCAACGAGAGGUUGAAGCCCUUUCAGCUGUCCAGCGCCGCAAUAUUAUUGGACUGCUCGGUCUUUGCACGGAUAACGAAUCGAGUGAUGGUGACUCAUCGAUUAGAGUCUGCUCAUCUUUGAAUUCGCCAACGGAGGGACUCUUUUCGACUAUCUUUUCGGUGGCCAAGCAAAAAACAACAAAUUCAAAUCAGACGUGAAUCAAAUGAUACUGAUCGCUCGCCAUCUCACCGCGAGGCUCUCCAUCUACUGCAAUCCACUCAGCAGAAGCCGGGCGGUUCAGUUAUGGUCCACCGUGACGUGAAAUCCGCCAAUGUUUUACUGCAACGGGAUUACGAAGGAAGAGUCGUGCGAGCUGUUUUGGCCGAUUUUGGUUUGCCGGUUUUCAUUUGGAUCUCAACGAAAGUGGCUCCGGCUCUGGCCUAGCAGCCAGUUCCAUGACAGCCUUGGUAGGUACCCACGACUGUGUUGAUCCUUUGUAUGCGGAGAGUUUAACCUGCAGACGGGUCGGCCAGUUUGCAUGUCCUUCACGAUUGAAGGUCGCGGGGAAUAUUACGUUAAACUGUCAAUGCGGUGGUGUAGAGGUUGGGUGAGAAUUGGACGUGUUGCAUCAUUAUCGAGCAGACCCAUCCCCAGCAACGUCAACCUAAAAAAGGAAAGGCCAGUUUGCAUUUCCUUCACGCUCGAAGGUCACGGUGAUCUUAACGUAAAACGUGUCCUGCGACGGCGGAGAGGUUGGGUGAGGACGACACGUGUUACAUCAUUUUCAAUCAACUUUGGCGUUGUGCUGCUGUUGGGUGUUGAAUCGUUGAUGGUUGGUUCGACCACUGGUGUACAGAUGUCUCGUGGGGAUGGUGGAUACCAAACCGCAACGCUGCCGUGUUAGGUGUUACUACACAAUAACAACAUACGCAACAACCGAAUAGCUACACCACCAAGGCACCGGAGUACUACACCACCAAGGUACCGGAGUACUACACCACCAAGGCACCGGAGUACUACACCAUCGAGGCACUGCAAUACUACACGACUCCGUAUGCUGCCCCAGCCUUUUAGACCGAUGCUCCAGCUUAUUACUCCACCACGCGGUCAAAUACUACACUGAAGCGCCAAACUAUUACUCUGCCCCGAAUUACUUCACAGCGGCUGCUCCUUCGUACUACGUUGGACCGAAAUACUACACUGAGGCUCCAGUUUACUACAUAACAACUUACGGUGCUCCUAGCUACACCUAGUUAAUACACCAGACACGGCAACAAUUGCAUACUUCAACGUAGUACCAGUUUGCAAAAUUAUUUUU